Molecule: long non-coding RNA, 244 nt
Filed under: Vitis vinifera (wine grape)
Lineage: Eukaryota; Viridiplantae; Streptophyta; Magnoliopsida; Vitales; Vitaceae
Description: long non-coding RNA (VVIN_LNC006520)
Source: RNAcentral
UCUAAUAAAACUCUUCAGAUCUUUCAAUGCUUCCCAAUUGCAAUAAUGUGAGACACCUCUAGUCCUUGCAAGAAAGCACCUAUCAUUGCAAGAAGCAUAGUGCAGGAAACUAGAGGAUCCUGUGUGUAACUUCUAUGGCAAAGCUUAAGCAACUGCAUCAAAGUGCCUCUUUUUCUACCUUGCAUAGGGAUGGUACCGACUACUGCCACUAUAGCCUCCCCUUCCAUACAGCCCACCUGCUCCG